AUUGAACGCUGGCGGCAGGCCUAACACAUGCAAGUCGAGCGGAUGAGGGGAGCUUGCUCCUGGAGUCAGCGGCGGACGGGUGAGUAAUUCCUAGGAAUCUGCCUGGUAGUGGGGGAUAACGUCCGGAAACGGGCGCUAAUACCGCAUACGUCCUGAGGGAGAAAGUGGGGGAUCGUCGGACCUCACGCUAUCAGAUGAGCCUAGGUCCGAUUAGCUAGUUGGUGGGGUAAAGGCCUACCAAGGCGAUGAUCCGUAGCUGGUCUGAGAGGAUGAUCAGUCACACUGGAACUGAGACACGGUCCAGACUCCUACGGGAGGCAGCAGUGGGGAAUAUUGGACAAUGGGCGAAAGCCUGAUCCAGCCAUGCCGCGUGUGUGAAGAAGGUCCUCGGAUUGUAAAGCACUUUAAGUUGGGAGGAAGGGCAGUAAGUUAAUACCUUGGUGGUUUGACGGUACCAACAGAAUAAGCACCGGCUAACUUCGUG
RNAcentral lists this ribosomal RNA (484 nucleotides) under uncultured bacterium. RNAcentral describes it as "partial 16S ribosomal RNA". It matches the Rfam family "Bacterial small subunit ribosomal RNA", at positions 30 to 507 of the family's 1533-position model. The record is from RNAcentral.